Molecule: long non-coding RNA, 1318 nt
Organism: Ipomoea triloba (trilobed morning glory)
Lineage: Eukaryota; Viridiplantae; Streptophyta; Magnoliopsida; Solanales; Convolvulaceae
Exons: 2
Source: RefSeq, a predicted model, not a curated record
UGUACUAGCAAACCUGGAAAAUGAAAAAAGAGAAAAUGCCCUUUUUAUUAAGAUUAUCUACGGAAAGCAAAAAAAAAAUGGAACUAAAAAAUGAAAAAGAAGCUACAAGAACACAAAAUAACCUGGAAUUAAAUCAGAAACCAGAAUGUUCACAAGAAACAAAGGAAGAGAUUACAACCACUCCACGCAACCUGACUCGGAAACGACUUCCCGGGCUAGAGCAUGGGCAGCAUGAUUCGCAGAUCGCCUAGCAAAACAAAAAAAUAAAUCAUGAAUCUGGGAUGCAGUUUCUUUUACAUCAUCAAUAAUAAAACCAAAAGAAGAAUUAAAAGAUUCAGAUGAUAACGCAUAAAACACAAGCUGGAAUCAGUUUCAACAUCCACAUCACCAAAAUCCAAUUCCUUCAGCCAGCUAAGAGCUUCUCGGAUGCUCACCGCUUUCGCCUCUUUGACAUUGAAAGACCCCACACAAGUCCUAGAUUUUACUGCAAUGAAACAGCCUUCAUCAUCUCGAACAAUCUAGCCCAUUCCCCAAUACCCACCCAAACACCUACUACCCACCUCCAUUACAAAUUCAUGAAGAAGGCAAUGCUUCACACCUUUAUGAAACACCACCCCCCCAUUCUGUAUUUUACCCAUUCCAAUCCUUGUGAUUACCUCCCACCAGCCAAGGGCGAGAUUAAGAUCUUAAAAGAAAGGAUAUAAACAUUCACAAAGAUGGCCAAGGAGGGCACGGCUAAUUUAAAAGCCGAAAUCAAGAGCGAACUGAAGGAAUAUCUUGUUACCCUCCGGGAGGAAGGUCUUCCAUUAGAAGAGAUUGAAACGAAAAUGCUCUCUAUGAUGGAGGAGCUCAUGAAGACAAACUCAUUACGGGUUAACUACCCCAUUAUAGAUGAUCUCCCGACUUUUGAAGCCAAUCCGAGGGUUGUACAUAAGGAUGAAGCUUGAAUUACAUUUUUUAAGAGAACCUCCCUACCGGCGCGGGACAAGAAUUUUGAGUUCCAGCUUCAGACCUUGUUCAGAAUUUUCCCUUUCCAGAAGCCUAGGAUUUCCUUCUUACGCCUGCCAAUCAAUGAUGGGAGACCCAAAUAUUUGUCUGAAGUAUCCCCCUCACGAACACCUAGCACCAUGGCUACCUCAUUUCGGACUUGCUGGUGUACAUUUGAAUUGAAACAGAUCAUAGACUUGUCAUAAUUUAUUUGUUGACCUGAGGCUUUCAAAUAGUUAUCCAAGAUCCAAUUCAUCAUUGCACUCUCAUUAGGAUUUGCACGAAAAAAAAAAAGAAGAAGAAGGAAACAAUCAUCAACAAAUAAUAAAUA